Molecule: ribosomal RNA, 519 nt
Filed under: uncultured prokaryote
Description: bacterial SSU rRNA
Rfam family: Bacterial small subunit ribosomal RNA
Source: RNAcentral
CGCUGUCUGACUAUUCAUAGUGCAGGGUUCCUACAUGCUUAAAACCGGGGGGGAAUAGUCGACUGCCUGGACCGGGGAUGAUGAUGACAAUUUCGAAAGAAUAGGCUCCGGCUGACUCCGUGCCAACAGCCGCGGUAAUACGGAGGGAGCUAGCGUCGUUCGAAAUUACUGGGCGUAAAGCGCACGUAGGCGGCUAUUCAAGUCAGAGGUGAAAGCCCGGGGCUCAACCCCGGAACUGCCUUUGAAACUACAUACCUUGAAUCCAGGAGAGGUGAGUGGAAUUCCGAGUGUAGAGGUGAAAUUCGUAUAUAUUCGGAAGAACACCAGUGGCGAAGGCGGCUCACUGGACUGGUAUUGACGCUGAGGUGCGAAACGUGGGGAGCAAACAGGAUUAGAUACCCUGGUAGUCCACGCCGUAAACGAUGAUAACUAGCUGUCACGGCACAUGGUGUUUUGGUGGCGCAGCUAACGCAUUAAGUUAUCCGCCUGGGGAGUACGGUCGCAAGAUUAAAACUCAAA